AGGAACUUAGCUCAGUUGGUAGAGCAGCGGAUUCCAAAUCCGCCGGUCUGGGGUUCAAGUCCUCAAGUUCCUGCCA
Molecule: transfer RNA, 76 nt
Filed under: Herbiconiux daphne
Lineage: Bacteria; Bacillati; Actinomycetota; Actinomycetes; Micrococcales; Microbacteriaceae
Description: tRNA-Trp
Rfam family: tRNA
About the family: Transfer RNA (tRNA) molecules are approximately 80 nucleotides in length. Their secondary structure includes four short double-helical elements and three loops (D, anti-codon, and T loops).
Source: RNAcentral